UCGAGGAUAUUUAGCAAUGGGGGAAACCCUGACUAUGUGACGCCGCGUGAGGGAUGAAGGUCUUCGGAUUGUAAACCUCUUUCAGUGGGGAAGAAACCUCUAGUUAAUCACUAGAGCUGACGGUACCCAAAGAAGAAGCCAUGGCCAACUCUGUGCCAGCAGCCGCGGUAAUACAGAGAUGGCAAGCGUUACUCGGAUUUAUUGGGUGUAAAGGGCAGGUAGGCGUUCCAUCAAGUUGGGAGUGAAAUCCUAAGGCUCAACCUUAGAACUGCUUUCAAAACUGUUGGAAUUGAGGCCAGAAGAGGAGAGCGGAAUUCCCGGUGUAAGGGUGAAAUCUGUAGAUAUCGGGAGGAACACCAGUGGCGAAAGCGGCUCUCUGGUCUGGUCCUGACGCUAAGCUGCGAAAGCUAGGGGAGCAAACAGG
RNAcentral lists this ribosomal RNA (424 nucleotides) under uncultured bacterium. RNAcentral's name for it is "bacterial SSU rRNA". It matches the Rfam family "Bacterial small subunit ribosomal RNA", at positions 355 to 776 of the family's 1533-position model. The record is from RNAcentral.